This 675-nucleotide ribosomal RNA is filed under the name Triticum aestivum (bread wheat). RNAcentral describes it as "partial small subunit ribosomal RNA". The record is from RNAcentral. Lineage: Eukaryota; Viridiplantae; Streptophyta; Magnoliopsida; Poales; Poaceae.
AUGGACAAGGAAAAAGGGGAAGUAGAGGAGGAGGAGAAGGAGAAGGAGAGAAGCUUGGUGUCCAUUAUGAAGACUAAGCCGCUUGUCCCAGGAAGCGGAAGGGCAAGGGCAAGGGUUGUGUCGCUGCCGAGGAAGCGGGCCAAGGAUUACGGCAAUGUCCCGCUCGCCGAGUUGUUAUUAAGGGUAAAAAAGAUCCUCCACCUUAACGUCUUGCUGACCCUGCCGAUGCCAAGAGCCGCACCAACCCCACCAUCCGCCGCUGGACGGAAGAUCUCAAGACCUCUGCCUACCAAGCCGACCAUCUCCUCGAAAACUUCCGCUAUGCGGCGCUGUGCCGAUGACCACAUCCGCGGCCCCUCCUUUGCAAUGGAGCAUGAUAAGCAAGCGGAGAAGGAUUAUGAAGAGGAGGAAGAGAAUGGGGAGGACGAGGAUGAGCAAGGUACUUUGUUUGAGGAGGAGGAAGAUUCUUCUUAUUUUGCUGUCAAAGCGCUAAGUGUUAUGCUAUGCAAAAUUGCAUUGUUUGGCUGUCAACGUUCAAUAUUUUUGUUGUAUAAAGUUCAAAGGAGGAGCUGUCCAAAAUUAAAAAGCCAUGAUGUUCAAUUCUUUCUUAGUCAUAUAUAUUUGUUCCAUUUCUACACUUUUCAUAGAAGAAAGCUUAUUUUUUCAUCACUAUGA